CGGCGACGUUACCUUGAACAAAUUAGAGUGCUCAAAGCAGGCUCUGUAUGCCUGUAUACAUAUUCAUGGAAUUGGAGAAUACGUCCCUGGCUCGAUUUGGUUGGUUUUGAGAGUCGAAGGGAAAUGAUUAAUAGGGACUGACGGAGGCAUUCGUAUUGCGACGCGAGGGGUGAAAUCCUGUGACCGUCGCACGACGAACUACUGCGAAAGCAUUUGCCGAGAAUGUUUUCAUUAGUCAAGAACGAAAGUUAGAGGUUCGAAGGCGAUCAGAUACCGCCCUAGUUCUAACCGUAAACGAUGUCGACCAGCAAUCCGCAACGGUCACUAUACGGACUGUGCGGGCAGCUUUCCCGGAGAAAUCAGAGUGUAUGGACUCCGGGGGAAGUAUGGUUGCAAAGCUGAAACUUAAAGGAAUUGACGGAAGGGCACCACCAGGAGUGGAGCUUGCGGCUUAAUUUGACUCAACACGGGACAACUCACCAGGCCCGGACACCGUAAGGAUUGACAGACUGAUAGCUCUCUCUUGAUUCAGUGGGUGGUGGUGCAUGGCCGUUCUUAGUUGGUGGAGUGAUUUGUCUGGUUUAUUCCGAUAACGAACGAGACUCUGGCCUAUUAAACUUGACGCCGUCAGUCCUUAUGUGACUACGGCGCGCUUCUUAGAGGGAUCAUCGGCGUCCCAGCCGAAGGAAAGGGAGCAAUAACAGGUCUGUGAUGCCCUUAGAUGUUCUGGGCUGCACGCGUGUUACACUGAAGUGGUCAGCGCGCCGUUCAUCGUCCCUCUCCGUGAGGAGUGGGCAAACGUUUGAACCCUUUUCGUGAUGGGAAUUGGGGGUUGCAAUUGUCCCCCAUGAACGAGGAAUUCCAAGUAAGCGCAGGUCACUAGCCUGCGUUGAUUAAGUCCCUGCCCUUUGUACACACCGCCCGUCGCUACUACCGAUGGAUGAUUUGGUGAGGUCGCCUAGACUGGCCGCUGGCUUCGGCCGUGCGGCC
RNAcentral lists this ribosomal RNA (990 nucleotides) under Arcoscalpellum sp. 3 HCL-2014. RNAcentral's name for it is "SSU rRNA". It matches the Rfam family "Eukaryotic small subunit ribosomal RNA", at positions 744 to 1745 of the family's 1831-position model. Lineage: Eukaryota; Metazoa; Arthropoda; Thecostraca; Scalpellidae. The record is from RNAcentral.